UAGCUCAGUGGUAGAGCACUGGUCUUGCAUGCCUGAGGCCCUGGGUUCGAUUCCUCAG
RNAcentral lists this transfer RNA (58 nucleotides) under Dipodomys ordii (Ord's kangaroo rat). It matches the Rfam family "tRNA", at positions 8 to 63 of the family's 71-position model. Rfam says of the family: Transfer RNA (tRNA) molecules are approximately 80 nucleotides in length. Their secondary structure includes four short double-helical elements and three loops (D, anti-codon, and T loops). The record is from Rfam by way of RNAcentral. Lineage: Eukaryota; Metazoa; Chordata; Mammalia; Rodentia; Heteromyidae.